UUCACGUGCAACUGUUUAAAUUGGUUGUGUCAUGCAAGGGUUUUGAGAACUGUCUUGACUAAAGAAAUAGUUUGAUUGCCUUGUCAGCAAGAGAGGUGCCUGCAGCCUAGGCGGCAACCAUGCUAUCUUGCACAGACACAAAAAGCCUUUUGGAAGGUUGUGUCUUUGUUGAAGACGAUGUUUAGCAUUUUAGCAUUCAAGACUCUUCAGACACGGAUUGCGAGAACGCCCGGCCUGAGAAAUUGACACAAGAUUGAGCGGAGGUGAAUGCACCUGCUUAAGUUGAGGAAGGCAGAUCACCAAAGAAGGCGGGGGUCCUGUGAUGAGGAUGGGGUGAGUAACUGGGCCUGACUGGUUUGAUGAAGCCCCAUCUGUACUGGGCAUUUUCCAUGCCAGAUGACAAUUUAUUUUAUUUUUUAAGUUCGGCACUGACAUUUCUUAGCGACUCUCCUACAUAGGUUGGGAGAAGCUAAGAAGAAAGCCAGAAUAAACUCUACAUUCAUCACGUGCACUUUAGUAAGGGCAAGAUCAGCCCCUCGAUCAUUUCAGUUUCCCUCUGCUGCACCGAUUGCAGCUCUACAGUAUUCCUUUUUUUUUUGCAGAACGAUAAAGAGUAGGUAUCCCAACUGUGGUCAUCCCAUAAUCCAGAGUGGCACCACUCCGGCCCUCCUGUAGAUGUUUGACUACAAUUCCCAUGAUCCCUGACUACCGGCCACUGUGGAAGUCAUCCUAACUUUUUUUUUAAUUUUUUUUAUUUUUGCAUUUUUAUACCGCCUUUCGUUAAAAUAUAGCCCCAAGGCGGUUUACAAAAGUUAAAAACAUACAAUAAAAACACAAUAAAAACAACAUGCUAAGAGUAUAAAAACAUAUAAAAACAGGCAUAAAACAAUACAAGAAAUAAAAACACCCAGAAGCAGCAGUAAAAACGAUUAUGUAAAAGCCUGGGUAAAAAGCCAAGUCUUUACAAGCUUUCUAAAAGCCAUGAUGGAGUCCGAGGAGCGAAUGACCACUGGGAGAGCAUUCCAGAGUUUGGGGGCAGCAACAGAGAAGGCCCUGUCCCGAGUGUACGACAGCCGGGCCUCUCUCAUUGUCGGCACCCGGAGCAGGGCCCCCUCAGAUGUCCUCGUCAAGCGGGCAGCAACCCUUGGGAGCAGGCGGUCCCUCAAAUACCCUGGGCCCAAACCAUUUAGGGCUUUAAAGGUCAAAACCAGCACCUUGAAUUGGACCCGGAAACGAACCGGUAGCCAGUGCAGCUCUUUCAAAAUGGGGGUGAUAUGUUCCCAACGGGCAGCUCUGGAUAACACCCUCGCUGCCGCGUUUUGCACUAGCUGCAGUUUCCGGAUAUUCUUCAAGGGCAGCCCCACGUAGAGCGCGUUACAGUAAUCCAGCCGCGACGUGACUAAGGCGUGGGUAACUGUGGCCAGAUCUGCCCUCUCGAGAAAGGGACGCAGCUGGCGCACCAGCCGAAGCCGUGCAAAGGCACCCCUGGCCACCGCCUCCACCUGAGCUUCCAAGAGCAGAGCUGGGUCCAGUAGUACCCCCAAGCUGCGUACUUGUUCCUUCAAGGGGAGUGCAACCCCAUCCAGAACUGGUAAAAUCUCCACAUCCCGAUUGGCUCUCCUACUGACCAACAGCACCUCCGUCUUAUCCGGAUUCAAUUUCAGUUUGUUAGCCCACAUCCAACCCAUCACGGCCUCCAGUCCCCGGUUCAGGACAUCCACCGCCUCCCUAGGAUCAGAUGACAAGGAGAGAUAGAGCUGAGUGUCAUCCGCAUAUUGCUGACAACUCAGUCCAAAUCCCCGGAUGACCUCUCCCAGCGGCUUCAUGUAGAUGUUAAACAGCAUGGGGGACAAGACCGAACCCUGCGGGACCCCACAGGCCAACGGCCACGGGGCCGAGCAGUAGUCCCCCAGCACCACCUUCUGGACCCUCCCCUCAAGAAAGGACCGGAACCACUGCAAUGCAGUGCCUCCGAUUCCCAUACUCGAGAGGCGGCCCAGAAGGAUACCAUGGUCGAUGGUAUCGAACGCCGCCGAGAGGUCCAGCAGAACCAACAGGGUUCUAGUUCCCGGCGUAGGUCAUCCACUAGAGCGACCAAGGCAGUCUCAGUCCCAUACCCGGGGCGGAAGCCAGAUUGAAAAGGGUCCACAUAAUCCGUAUCAUCCAAGACCCUCUGCAGCUGGGACGCCACCACACGCUCCAUCACCUUGCCCAAAAAGGGCAGGUUAGACACAGGUCUAUAGUUGUCCAUGCUGGAGGGAUCAAGGGAGGGCUUUUUUAAUAGAGGUCUUACCACCGCCUCCUUAAGGCACGAUGGCAUCCUGCCCUCCCUUAAUGAAGCAUUAACCAUCACCUCCAGCCAUCUGCCUGUCCCCUCCCUGGAAGCUUUUAUUAGCCAUGAAGGGCAAGGGUCAAGAGCGCACGAAGUCGCCCGCACACUGCCCAGGAUCUUGUCCACAUCCUCAGGCCGCACCAACCGAAAAGAAUCCAACACAACGGGACCAGAUGGUGCCAAAGGCACGUCUGCCGGAACUGCCAAAACUCUGGAGUCCAGGUCAGCACGGAUGCAAGCGACUUUAUCUGCAAAGUGACAGGCAAACCGAUCACAAAGAGCUGUAGAUGGCUCCUCCCCCAUUGUCCGGGGGGAUGUGUGGAGCAAUGUUUUCACCACACGAAACAGCUCUGUUUGCCUGCACUGAGCAGACGCAAUGGAGGCGGAGAAAAAACGUUUCUUCGCCGCCCCCACCGCCACGGCGUAGUCCCUAAAAUGGGUUCUAGCCCGUGUUCGAUCAGAUUCGUGACGACUCUUCCUCCAGCGUCGCUCCAGCCGUCGUCCGAGUUGCUUCAUCGCCCUAAGCUCCGAGGAAAACCAAGGAGCAGAACGGGCUCCACUAAGCCGGAGAGGGCGCUUGGGGGCAACCGUGUCAACAGCCCGGGCCAUCUCUCCAUUCCAGAGAUCAACCAAGGCGUCGACAGGGUCACCAGCUCUGGACACUGGAAACUCCCCGAGGGCCGUCUGGAAUCCAAGCGGAUCCAUAAGCCUCCGGGGGCGGACCAUCUUAAUCGGCCCACCACCCCUGCAGAGGGCAGACGGAGCAGUCAAACUAAACCCCACCAGGUGAUGAUCUGUCCAUGACAAGGGAGUGGUCUCAAAUUCCCCCACCUCCAGAUCAUUUAUUUCCCGGUCGGCAAAAACCAGAUCCAGAGUGUGUCCCGCCACGUGGGUAGGGCCCGAUACCAAUUGAGACAGGCCCAUGGUUGCCAUGGAGGCCAUGAAAUCCUGAGCCGCACCCACUAGGGGGGCCUCAGCGUGGACAUUGAAAUCCCCCAAAACAAUAAGCCUGGAGGAACCCAAGGCCACCUCCGAGACCACCCCCGCCAGCUCAGGUAGGGAGACUGAAGUGCAGCGGGGUGGUCGGUACACCAGCAGAAUCCCCAGCCUAUCUCGGAGGCCCACCCUCAAGGACAAACACUCAAAAUUCUGAGAUUGCCUGACCGGGCACCUGGAAACAGGGAGGGUCUCUCGAAAGAUGACUGCAACGCCUCCUCCCCGACCCUCGAGGCGGGGCUGCUGCACGAUCUGGAAACCUGGAGGACAAAGCUGAGAGAGACCGACCCCGCCCAGCGGAUCCAACCAGGUCUCCGUCACACAUACCAGGUCAGCACGCUCAUCCACAAUCAGAUCGUGGAUGAGAGAUGUUUUUGCGUUAACUGACCUGGCAUUCAGCAGCAGCACCCUAAUCCUCGAAGGAGUGUUCCCAGAGCUCCCUAGGGUCAGAGGGUUGGGAGAAGGGCCAGAAAAAGGAACAGGCCUCAAUUGCCUGGACCGUUUUCCCCUGUAACGGCCUGCCCAACUCCCACCGCCAUACCUCCCUCUGCCCGCUACCUGUGAUAUUGCCGCCCCCGCUCCAGACCCACUUUUUUGCUCCCCCAGACACAUCUCCCCAGACUAACCCACCACGGCUUCUUGGCUUAAUUAAAAAACAAAACAAAAACAAAACUUCAACUGACUUGGAUGUAUGUCUUUCUGCAUUAACUUGAAUUUUUUUCCAAGCUAUUCCAACCAGAGAUGCACAUUCCUAGUUGUCAGCAUCGCCAGAGGUUUCCAGAGGCCUCUCCUUUUUAAAGGUAGCUUGCUUGUUAAAAUCGCUAUGGAUCUCUUCUCUGUGGGAUGCUGAUGGAGAUGCUUCUCCCCAAAUAAAACCAUAAACCAUGCAUUCGCUUCACAGUGGGUGGGAGGUUGCAGGACAGAUAGGUCCCAACCUGCAUGAGGUCUCACUUUUAUUGUUGCAGACUUCUGCUGCUUGGUCAGAAUUUUAGAUCUGGAAAACAGUGUUGGAGAGAAGGACAGUGCACUCCAUCCAUCGGAGCUCUUUUUAUCUCAAAGGUAUUAUCCUUAUUAUUGUUAUUGCUGUUGUUGUUGUUACUGCAACUUUUAAGAGUGACGCAUGCAUGCCAUAUCUCUGUUUCUCUGUCCUGAUCCGAUCAAUCAAUUCUGUUCAGUGAUUCUUUUCUAUUUAGCGGAUUGGGGGGAGCAACUGUCCCCCUCCCGGGGUUGUUGCUGGGGUCUACCAUCUUCCUUUUUAGAUUGCGAGCCCUUUGGGAGCCGUCUUUCAUAUUUUAUCUACAUAAACUGCUUGGAGAACCUGUGCUGAAGAUUUGUCCUAAUAGCAAGUAUGGCAGUGAAUGACUGCAAAUAUCAGGUCGGAUUAGGAACUCCAGAUGCCAGUCCGGGCUCUUGCAGUCCCUUCAAAAGUAACCUGGAAAUUGUACUCUCAGAGUGAAUGCAGAAGAAAAGUGAUGUAACAUCAGAGAAUCGCUGGGGAAGUGAUGUGAAACUGAGGUAAUCUUCUGCCUUCUUUUUCAAAUGGUAAGUGAAAUAAAAGGCAAAAAGUAAGAAAUAUCUUACAUAAAAGAUGCAUGGGUGAGCAGGCAUUUGGGCAAAUGGAACCAUCCCCCCCGCAGCCCCCCAGCCCCAAUCAGUGACAAAAUGUGGAGCCCCACCACCACAUGGAGCUCUAAAAUGGGUCGGGAAUUCCCGGAUGGUGUUGGGGAACUCUGACUCAAUGUAGGCUUCCCAACGUCGGGGUUGGCUGAUCCCCGACACCCUCCAACGUGGCCCAUCUCAGGCCAUGUCCAACACAACUGAUGCAGACUUGAACAGCCGUAUAUUAAGCACCUUCUCUCUUUUUGUUCCGAUUCUGCCCCCAAACUGAGCUGAACAGACCCAAGCCCAGAGAUGGAAGGGGAGCUGAAAAGGCUGGAGAACAGCAGAGACGCUCUCAAGGCUGGCUUCUACGAAUCCUUCGGUGGACUGCAUCCUCCCCAUGACUCUGAUGACAGUAGCAAUGGGCCGAGAGAGAACCUACAUUACGUGUUCAGGACUACAGAAAUCCCCCUCCCCUUGGCCUCGUGCAAAGGGGAGGGAGUUUGUCUCAGCCCCGCUCUGCACGAGGCCCAAGAAGCGGGCCGAUUGGCCCUUUGGGUCAGGGGGCGGGGUUUUGCCGGGAUGAUCCCCGCCCCGUGCUCCUCAGUUUGGGACAGGCAUUCCCCUCCCUCCCUCCCUGGUAUAGAGCGGGUCUAGCGACUGGUCGCCCAACGGGGCCGAGUAGGAAUUUUUGGCUCCCAAAGCAUUGGCCACUGUUGGGGUUUUUUUUCGCCUACUCCGUUCUGUGUUCCAGGUGUAUAGUUAGAGUUAGGCCGGUCACAAUGGCAGUAACAGUGCGGGCGGGGUGGUAAUUCGAGGAUUAGAACAUCGGUGAGCACCCUUGGAUAUUUAAACGGGUGACUGGUCAAUCGCUCCUUUGUGGCCUGUGCGGCACGGGGAGAAUGGAUUGCCAUGAAACCUGCUUCAGGACUUCACCAACCUUUGGGCUGAGCGGUCCGGGGUGGGCGAAGACCUUGAAGUAUCCAGAUCCUCUCUUACGAAAGGGGGGGUUUGGCUUUGAAGGAAUUGGGCGGGGCGUACCUGCCCGUUUCCCGAGCCAGGGUGUGUCGCCCAGUAAGGUGCUGGGUAGGACGUCAGAGUUCUAACCCGGUCCUCUUGGCCCGCACUGUUCUCUAAGGGUGAUUAAUCACCUGGUGUUCCAGUUCGCCAUGUCUUUUGUUACAGUUAAUAAAGUUGUGGCCCUUUUACCCAUA
Long non-coding RNA from Hemicordylus capensis (graceful crag lizard), 6141 nucleotides. RefSeq lists it as uncharacterized. Lineage: Eukaryota; Metazoa; Chordata; Lepidosauria; Squamata; Cordylidae. The transcript is spliced from 2 exons. The record is from RefSeq and is a predicted model, not a curated record.